UAAUAUAUACAUAGGCACACAGAUGC
RNAcentral lists this non-coding RNA (26 nucleotides) under Mus musculus (house mouse). Lineage: Eukaryota; Metazoa; Chordata; Mammalia; Rodentia; Muridae. The record is from RNAcentral.